AUCUGAUUCACAGUUUGCUGUCGGUAGCUCCGCAUUUCUGAUUUCCCAAGGUUCAGCUCGACCCCUCCUGCACAGACGUCACUGCGUAGAGGUCGCUGCGACGCUGGGCCGUGAUCGGGAUCUGCUGCCGGAUGUCGGCCAAAUGCUGCAGGUCUGGGGACGGAUGACGCAGGUUUAAUGCAAACUCAUAACAUAUAGAAAGUGGAAACAGUGAUGAGAAUGUUUCAACUUGGUCAUUUUUUAGUCUGUAGUUUUUCAUUUUCGUUUUAUAUUUUAUCCCCUCUUUGUAUAUACAGGGGCGGGCAGACUAAAAACCAUCUCUACAUAAAGAAAAAGUUACUCUCCCAGUCUGAUCAAAGAUAUUUCAGACACACAUGAAAAGGCCAGACAGAUGAUGUGGCACCCUGAGCGUGUCGCUAAUACUUUGCCACAACAAAGUGAUGAGAUGCAUCUGUGACAUUAUCAUCGGGGCAGAUGUGUAAUUUUCCUCAGUGUCAUCGUGCAGCUCGUAAAAAAAACAAAAAAACGUUGUAAAACAGGAGCGACUGAGUUGGAUCAUCCUGAUAACGAGCCAACUGCUCUCCCACUCACCGAUAUCGGCGUAAAUCACGGCCUCCUCUGCUCCGGCCUUGGAGAUCACUUCUCCCCUGCAAUGACGGAAAGGAAAUAAAAAAAUGAUCACAACUCUGCAACACCUAAAAAAAAAAUCCACAGAUGGACAAAGACAAUAUGUAGUGGGUCAUUAUAGGAGAAGUAGAGACAUUACUGUAAUGCUACUGUAAAUUACAUUUAUAAUGUAAUUUGUAAUGACUAAUGUAUUUGAGAACAAUUUGAGGUAAACUAGUAUUUAAACUUUACGCCAGUUUAUACAUUUACUUCAGUCCAUUUUAAAAGGGAACUUUUUGACUAUAAGUACUUCACAAGUACUUAAGUAAAUUAAACAACAGUACAUACAUCUAUAAAACUGGCUCCAACAGUCCUCAGUAAGAAUGGAAUAAUAUUUCACAUAUGGGAUAACAUUUCUCCUGCGUGAUAAAUAUGAAUAAUCUGAUGCUUUAGUAAAACUUUAACCUUGUUGUAUUUCUAUUUUUACCGGCAGGUAAGUGAUCUGUACUUCUUCCACCACUGCUGCUUCUCCUGCUCCUGCUCACUUUUGGACUUUGGGCAUCCAUCCAGCCUAACUGCACACACGUGACCCGCCUCUGAUUCGUAGCUCACAGCUCGCUCGCUGCCCAUUGUCGUAGCACUCGAUCUCCCCUUCUAACUUUCCUCUCUCGCUUUUCACGGCGCAUUACACGAUCACACAACAAACGACAACGCGAUCCUGUAUCCUUACCACGGGUUCACGACAGUGCUGUGACCCCAGGCGACAUACGAAGAGGUCUCAUCUCUGGCAGGCGACGCUGUGGCCACGAACACUUGGUUAUCAACCGCCCUGCACAGGAGACAUCAACAAGUUUGGACAGAGACAGGAGUGUGAGCCUGACCUCCCCCUCUGCAGGAGCUCCCAGUGCGCCGGACCAGUCGUCAUGUUGAAGGCUCCAGGGUAGACCAGCAGCUGACAGCCUGGGGACAGGAGGACACACCCAGUCAGCUCAAUUACACACAACUAAACACAUGACACAUGAGCCGUCACCUCGGCCACUCACCUUUUCUGCUGUAGAGCUGCGCAAGUUCUGCGAACCUCAUAUCGUAGCAGAUCCCCACUCCCACUUUACAGAAUGCUGCAGAGGGAAACCCGAGGGAAAACCAAACGGAUCAAAGUGAUGCUCAUCCGGCUGUUGGGGAACAAAUCAGGGGUCGGCAGGCGUCACUCACGUGUUUCGAACAUGGACAAACUGUUGCCUGGACUCAGUGUCUCAGACUCCUGGAAGCGAAUCUUUCCGGGAACGUCGAUGUCGAAGAGGUGAAUCUUCACAGAGAAAACAUUGAGAGUUGAAGAGAAGGACUUUGAAGUUGCUAAUGUCCUGCUUUAAUCUCAUUAAGGUCAUGAAGCUCAUAAGUAAUAUGUAGUGCACUUAAACCUUUCUGUGUUUAAGAAUCAGCUCUCCAUCAGGCCCAAACACAGCACAGCUGUUAUACAACUUCCCACCGUCCUCUUCAGGGAUCGAUCCUGGUGAACACGGAGUCACAUGGUCAAUUCCUCCACUCAACGAAAACAUGUAAUGGUUUUUUAUUUUUCAACUUUUGUUUUGUAUAUCGUUUAAGUUCCGUAAGAUCAGUCUCCCACUUCCUCUUCUGUUUUUCAGUGACAUAUUAUACUUUAUAUGUAUAUGUAAUUUAUAGGUUUUUAAUCCCAAAAACGUAGCUUUUUUUAAAUGGAAGGUCUCCCUAUAAUACUGUAAAAUCUUGUAAUGUACUUCGGAGUUGAGCAGGAUUUAAAUUUGAAGUGAGGCACAGUGGACAGAAACACUGUCGCUCCUCUCUGAACCGCAGUGUGUUGGUCAGUGCCUCCCUACCUCCCACUAGAUACACCUUGUUCUCCUUGGCGACCUCUGACAGCACCUGGGUGGACUCUCCUGGGAUCCUCUCGGCAUACUCAGAGAAGAAGUUGGUUCCAUAUGGAGAGUUGAAGCAUUCCUGUGGCAAAGUGAGAGACUAUUGGUUUUACAGCGAAAGGUGAAGUGUGACUGGAAUCCCGGACCCAGACUGCAGCAAGGAGUUUGGUAUUUGAUUUCCUUUGGCUUGACAGUUUAACAGUGUUGCCCCAAAUUGCUGAUUCGGGCCAAUGCACAUCUAAGACUCGCCUAGAUGUAGUUGCGGACUAUCUCCGAGGAGACCGGGGUGCGUGGGCAGCACAGGGGAACAACACCGCUGCAGAGAAGUGGAUCUCUUCAGAUGUGAUCACCGGUGGGAAGGAUCGUGUCUUUGAAUUGGACUCUGGACUUGCCUUCAGCCCCCCCCCCCCAAGUCUGUCUUAAAAUUUAACUCGUAUGUAAAUAGAUAACCGACACUGAAAAAUGUUACAUCUGUGUUAUUCCACUCCUCAGUAACUGGUUGACAAGAAAUUCCACUUUGUGUUUUCAUUUUUCACUAAAAAAGACUAACUUU
Long non-coding RNA from Scophthalmus maximus (turbot), 3051 nucleotides. RefSeq lists it as uncharacterized. The record is from RefSeq and is a predicted model, not a curated record. Lineage: Eukaryota; Metazoa; Chordata; Actinopteri; Pleuronectiformes; Scophthalmidae. The transcript has 2 exons.